ACGGGUGAGUAACGCGUGGGGAACCUGCCCCGCUCCGGGGGAUACCAGCUGGAAACGGCUGUUAAUACCGCAUAAGCGCACAGCAUUGCAUGAUGCAGUGUGAAAAACUCCGGUGGAACGGGAUGGCCCCGCGUCUGAUUAGCCAGUUGGCAGGGUAACGGCCUACCAAAGCGACGAUCAGUAGCCGGCCUGAGAGGGCGACCGGCCACAUUGGGACUGAGACACGGCCCAAACUCCUACGGGAGGCAGCAGUGGGGAAUAUUGCACAAUGGGGGAAACCCUGAUGCAGCGACGCCGCGUGAGUGAGGAAGUAUUUCGGUAUGUAAAGCUCUAUCAGCAGGGAAGAAGAUGACGGUACCUGCACAAGAAGCCCCGGCUAACUACGUGCCAGCAGCCGCGGUAAUACGUAGGGGGCAAGCGUUAUCCGGAUUUACUGGGUGUAAAGGGAGCGUAGACGGAAGGUCAAGUCAGGUGUGAAAGGCAUGGGCUCAACCCGUGGACUGCACUUGAAACUGGUCAUCUCGAGUGUCGGAGGGGCAGGCGGAAUUCCUGGUGUAGCGGUGAAAUGCGUAGAUAUCAGGAAGAACACCGGUGGCGAAGGCGGCCUGCUGGACGAUCACUGACGUUGAGGCUCGAAGGCGUGGGGAGCAAACAGGAUUAGAUACCCUGGUAGUCCACGCAGUAAACGAUGAAUACUAGGUGCUGGGUUCCACAGGGAUUCGGUGCCGGCGCAAACGCAUUAAGUAUUCCACCUGGGGAGUACGUUCGCAAGAAUGAAACUCAAAUGAAUUGACGG
RNAcentral lists this ribosomal RNA (796 nucleotides) under uncultured bacterium. Its description in RNAcentral is "bacterial SSU rRNA". It matches the Rfam family "Bacterial small subunit ribosomal RNA", at positions 102 to 916 of the family's 1533-position model. The record is from RNAcentral.